CCUACGUGUGGCAGCAGUGGGGAAUAUUGCACAAUGGGGGAAACCCUGAUGCAGCGACGCCGCGUGAGUGAAGAAGUAUUUCGGUAUGUAAAGCUCUAUCAGCAGGGAAGAAAAUGACGGUACCUGAUUAAGAAGCCCCGGCUAACUACGUGCCAACAGCCGCGGUAAUACGUAGGGGGCAAGCGUUAUCCGGAUUUACUGGGUGUAAAGGGAGCGUAGACGGCAGCACAAGUCUGGAGUGAAAUGCCGGGGCUUAACCCCGGAACUGCUUUGGAAACUGUGCAGCUAGAGGGCAGGAGAGGUAGGUGGAAGUCCGAGGGUAGGGGUGAAAUGGGUAGAUAUUAGGAGGAACACCGGUGGCGAGGGCGGCUUACUGGACUGUAACGGACGUUGAGGCUCGAAAGCGUGGGGAGCAAACAGGAUGAGAUACCCGGGUAGUC
RNAcentral lists this ribosomal RNA (440 nucleotides) under uncultured bacterium. Its description in RNAcentral is "partial 16S ribosomal RNA". It matches the Rfam family "Bacterial small subunit ribosomal RNA", at positions 338 to 795 of the family's 1533-position model. The record is from RNAcentral.